GACGAACGCUGGCGGCGCGCCUAAUGCAUGCAAGUCGAGCGACGCAUGCCCCUGGGUAACCACUAGGUAUGACGGAGCGGCGAACGGGUGAGUAACACGUGAGUAACCUGCCCCGAAGACUGGGAUAGCCCGGGGAAACCCGGAUUAAUACCGGAUACCCUCUCUGGAUCGCAUGGUCCGGUGAGGAAAGGCCUUUGUGCUUCGGGAUGGACUCGCGGCCUAUCAGCUUGUUGGUGAGGUAACGGCUCACCAAGGCAACGACGGGUAGCUGGUCUGAGAGGACGAUCAGCCACACUGGGACUGAGACACGGCCCAGACUCCUACGGGAGGCAGCAGCAGGGAAUCUUGUCCAAUGGGCGCAAGCCUGAGACAGCGACGCCGCGUGAGGGAUGAAGGCCUUCGGGUUGUAAACCUCUUUCAGGAGGGACGAAAUUGACGGUACCUCCAGAAGAAGCCCCGGCCAACUACGUG
Molecule: ribosomal RNA, 471 nt
Filed under: uncultured bacterium
Lineage: Bacteria
Description: bacterial SSU rRNA
Rfam family: Bacterial small subunit ribosomal RNA
Source: RNAcentral